UGGGGAAUAUUGGACACUGUGCGCAAGCCUGAUCCAGCCAUGCCGCGUGAGUGAUUAAGGCCCUAGGUUUGUAAAGCUCUUUCACCGGUGAAGAUAAUGACGGUAACUGGAGAAGAAGCCCCGGCCAACUUCGUGCCAUCAGCCGCGGUCAUACGAAGUCGGCUAUCGUUGUUCGGAUUUACUGGGCGUAAAGCGUACGUAGGCGGACUUUUAAGUCAGGGGUGAAAUCCCGGGGCUUAACCCCGGAACUGCCUUUGAUACUGGAAGUCUUGAGUAUGGUAGAGGUGAGUGGAAUUCCGAGUGUAAAGGUGAAAUACGUAGAUAUUCGGAGGAACACCAGUGGAGAAGGCGGCUCACUGGACCAUUACUGACGCUGAGGUGCGAAAGCGUGGCGAGCAAACAGG
This 404-nucleotide ribosomal RNA is filed under the name Actinomycetes bacterium. RNAcentral's name for it is "Actinobacteria bacterium partial 16S ribosomal RNA". It matches the Rfam family "Bacterial small subunit ribosomal RNA", at positions 355 to 776 of the family's 1533-position model. Lineage: Bacteria; Bacillati; Actinomycetota; Actinomycetes. The record is from RNAcentral.